GCGGCUAUGGCGGAACUGGCAGACGCGCUAGACUUAGGAUCUAGUGGGGCAACCCGUACAGGUUCGAUUCCUGCUAGCCGCACCA
This 85-nucleotide transfer RNA is filed under the name Bacilli bacterium. RNAcentral's name for it is "tRNA-Leu". It matches the Rfam family "tRNA". From Rfam's summary of the family: Transfer RNA (tRNA) molecules are approximately 80 nucleotides in length. Their secondary structure includes four short double-helical elements and three loops (D, anti-codon, and T loops). Lineage: Bacteria; Bacillati; Bacillota; Bacilli. The record is from RNAcentral. RNAcentral also lists the same sequence under 2 other names.